GUGCUCACUUCAGCAGAACAUAUGAUAACACUGACAUGAUACAGAGAAGAUAGCACAGGCCCUGUACAAGGGAACAUGCAAAUUUUGAAACAUUCCAUAUUUUC
Molecule: small nuclear RNA, 104 nt
Organism: Cavia porcellus (domestic guinea pig)
Lineage: Eukaryota; Metazoa; Chordata; Mammalia; Rodentia; Caviidae
Source: Ensembl